Molecule: long non-coding RNA, 1216 nt
Filed under: Zonotrichia albicollis (white-throated sparrow)
Lineage: Eukaryota; Metazoa; Chordata; Aves; Passeriformes; Passerellidae
Description: lncRNA (ENSZALG00000004824.1)
Source: RNAcentral
UGGCACAGAUACUGGGAAAAGCAUUCCUUGCCACCACCAAAAACAUGCUCCUGUUCUCAUUCCUCCCAUCCUUACACCAGCACAAAUGACUGGGUGUGCUUAUACAGUGUGCAGCAAGAGAGCCGCACAGAUAAAAAUGGAAAGAAGGAGAGGAGGCAAAGGAAUAAUUUUCUGUCAGAUCAGAUCCUGCAUCCAGUUCACUACUUUGACACAUGAACAGAUUUUGGACACAUCUGAGCCUCGAGAGCAGGGAGCAUACAGUGGAACCUUUUUAUGGCUGGAGAUGGAGCUGACUGAACUGCAAGGCUCCCAGCUCUGCAGCAAGGAUUGUGCAAUCCCUGUUGCUCCUCCAGGGCUGGUGGGACACAGAGAGGAUGCACUGGCCUUGCACUGCUUACGCCUCCCUGUGAGAGGUUUUUCACCUCUGCUGCAGAAAGUCUCAAGACACUUGUACUUAAUCGUCAAGAAUUGUGGUUAUUUCAGAAUGUGACAAUCUUAAAUAGUAUUGCCACAGAAAUAUAUGCAAAUGUAGGAUAUAGAUACAUAUUUAAACAUUAAAAAAAUUAAUAGAUAACUUUUUAAUUUCCUUCUUAAGACGUCUGAUUUUACUCUUUCUGCCUCUGAAUACAAGAUUUAAUUUACUGUUGAUAAUUGGGCAAUGCAUCUUACAGCUUUCAGAUUGUAAGUGGGUUUCCACAUAAUAACCCUUACUAUUCUAAAAAUCAUUCUCUGACAUUCUCCUACUUUCAUAAAUCCUUAUCCAAGCAACCUGUCCACACAAACUAUUUCUAACCUAAUUUCAGUAUGACCUCUGGACUUGGCAAACAGUGAACAUCUUUUACUGUUAAAUGCCUUAACAGGGCCUGUGGCUGAUUUUACAGCAAGACUCAAAUCUACCCCUGAAUUUAACACUAUUUCAUACAUUAAGUCUGUGACAAUUUUGAAACUAUUUUCAAUUUAAUAUGUCCUCACAAGAGGCAGACAUAAGAUCAGUUGUAGAAAAACAAAGAUAAAACCCUAUGAAAUCUAUUUUAAUGUUACAAAUCUGUAUUAGAAAAAAAAUUGUCAACACAAUUCAAAGAGCAAUGAUGCAAAAUUAUUUUUGGAACGAUUUUUUGUAUCUGCCUUCUUGUGUUUAAUUCAGGCUGGUUGCAGGAAGUAAACUCAUUAUAACAACAAAUCUGAGGUCUGGAGAAUAAAGCCUGGCAAGAUCUCA